GGUCUCCUGGAAACGGGUGGUAAUGCCGGAUGCUCCAGCUGAUUGCAUGGUGUUCUGGGAAAGCCUUUGCGGCAUGGGAUGGGGUCGCGUCCUAUCAGCUUGAUGGCGGGGUAACGGCCCACCAUGGCUUCGACGGGUAGCCGGCCUGAGAGGGCGACCGGCCACAUUGGGACUGAGAUACGGCCCAGACUCCUACGGGAGGCAGCAGUGGGGAAUAUUGCACAAUGGGCGCAAGCCUGAUGCAGCGACGCCGCGUGAGGGAUGGAGGCCUUCGGGUUGUAAACCUCUUUUGUUAGGGAGCAAGGCAUUUUGUGUUGAGUGUACCUUUCGAAUAAGCACCGGCUAACUACGUGCCAGCAGCCGCGGUAAUACGUAGGGUGCAAGCGUUAUCCGGAAUUAUUGGGCGUAAAGGGCUCGUAGGCGGUUCGUCGCGUCCGGUGUGAAAGUCCAUCGCUUAACGGUGGAUCCGCGCCGGGUACGGGCGGGCUUGAGUGCGGUAGGGGAGACUGGAAUUCCCGGUGUAACGGUGGAAUGUGUAGAUAUC
This 544-nucleotide ribosomal RNA is filed under the name Bifidobacterium breve. RNAcentral describes it as "bacterial SSU rRNA". It matches the Rfam family "Bacterial small subunit ribosomal RNA", at positions 144 to 698 of the family's 1533-position model. Lineage: Bacteria; Bacillati; Actinomycetota; Actinomycetes; Bifidobacteriales; Bifidobacteriaceae. The record is from RNAcentral.